Molecule: transfer RNA, 70 nt
Filed under: Chamaeleo monachus (monarch chameleon)
Lineage: Eukaryota; Metazoa; Chordata; Lepidosauria; Squamata; Chamaeleonidae
Description: tRNA-Thr
Rfam family: tRNA
About the family: Transfer RNA (tRNA) molecules are approximately 80 nucleotides in length. Their secondary structure includes four short double-helical elements and three loops (D, anti-codon, and T loops).
Source: RNAcentral
GUCCCAGUAGCUAAAACUUAACUUAAAGCAUUGGCCUUGUAAACCAAAGACGGGUACGACCCCUGGGUCA